Molecule: ribosomal RNA, 253 nt
Filed under: uncultured bacterium
Lineage: Bacteria
Description: partial 16S ribosomal RNA
Rfam family: Bacterial small subunit ribosomal RNA
Source: RNAcentral
UGCGUAGGGUGCGAGCGUUAAUCGGAAUUACUGGGCGUAAAGCGUGCGCAGGCGGUUCGUUAAGUUCGAUGUGAAAGCCCCGGGCUCAACCUGGGAACUGCAUUGGAAACUGGCGAGCUUGAGUAUGGCAGAGGGGGGUGGAAUUCCGCGUGUAGCAGUGAAAUGCGUAGAGAUGCGGAGGAACACCGAUGGCGAAGGCAGCCCCCUGGGCCAAUACUGACGCUCAGGCACGAAAGCGUGGGGAGCAAACAGG